Molecule: ribosomal RNA, 510 nt
Filed under: uncultured Diversisporaceae
Lineage: Eukaryota; Fungi; Glomeromycota; Glomeromycetes; Diversisporales
Description: SSU rRNA
Rfam family: Eukaryotic small subunit ribosomal RNA
Source: RNAcentral
AGCAGCCGCGGUAAUUCCAGCUCCAAUAGCGUAUAUUAAAGUUGUUGCAGUUAAAAAGCUCGUAGUUGAACUUCGGGGUCUACCCAUUGGUCAGGCUUAAUUGUCUGCACUGGUGAGAUGGAUCUCUACCUUCUGAGGAACUUUCAUGCCAUUUAUUUGGUGUGAUGGGAAAUCAGGACUGUUACUUUGAAAAAUUAGAGUGUUUAAAGCGGACUAUCGUCUGAAUACAUUAGCAUGGAAUAAUGAAAUAGGACGGACUGAUUCUAUUUCGUUGGUUUCUAGGAUCACCGUAAUGAUUAAUAGGGAUAGUUGGGGGCAUUAGUAUUCAAUUGUCAGAGGUGAAAUUCUUGGAUUUAUUGAAGACUUAACUACUGCGAAAGCAUUUGCCAAGGAUGUUUUCAUUAAUCAAGAACGAAAGUUAGGGGAUCGAAGACGAUCAGAUACCGUCGUAGUCUUAACCAUAAACUAUGCCGACUAGGGGUCGGACGAAGUUAAUUUUAUAAUGACGCG